RNAcentral lists this transfer RNA (88 nucleotides) under Dokdonella immobilis. RNAcentral describes it as "Dokdonella sp. LM 2-5 tRNA". It matches the Rfam family "tRNA". Rfam says of the family: Transfer RNA (tRNA) molecules are approximately 80 nucleotides in length. Their secondary structure includes four short double-helical elements and three loops (D, anti-codon, and T loops). RNAcentral also lists the same sequence under 1 other name. The record is from Rfam by way of RNAcentral. Lineage: Bacteria; Pseudomonadati; Pseudomonadota; Gammaproteobacteria; Lysobacterales; Rhodanobacteraceae.
GGAGAGGUGGCAGAGUGGUCGAAUGUACCUGACUCGAAAUCAGGCGUACGUUUAUAGCGUACCGUGGGUUCGAAUCCCACCCUCUCCG